UUAUGAUAUUUUCUUUGAGACAUGUUUUACUUGUUUAAUUACAUUCUUUGAAUUCUUGUCACUAAUAGAAUUAAGUAUAGACAAAAGAUUCUAUAUCUCUAUUUGUUGGCCACCUUACUUACUUACUUACUUACUUACUUACCUUACCUACUUACUUACCUUACUUACUUACUUACUUACCUUACUUACUUACUUACCUUACUUACUUACUUACCUUACUUACUUACUUACCUUACCUACUUACUUACCUUACUUACUUAC
This 261-nucleotide long non-coding RNA is filed under the name Physcomitrium patens. RNAcentral's name for it is "long non-coding RNA (PPAT_LNC012659)". Lineage: Eukaryota; Viridiplantae; Streptophyta; Bryopsida; Funariales; Funariaceae. The record is from RNAcentral.